This 208-nucleotide ribosomal RNA is filed under the name uncultured bacterium. RNAcentral's name for it is "partial 16S ribosomal RNA". It matches the Rfam family "Bacterial small subunit ribosomal RNA", at positions 1294 to 1500 of the family's 1533-position model. The record is from RNAcentral.
CGGAUUGUAGGCUGAAACUCGCCUACAUGAAGCUGGAGUUACUAGUAAUCGCAGAUCAGAAUGCUGCGGUGAAUGCGUUCCCGGGUCUUGUACACACCGCCCGUCACACCACGGAAGUUGGGGGCGCCCGAAGCCACUUAGCUAACCCUUUUGGGAAGCGAGUGUCGAAGGUGAAAUCAAUAACUGGGUGAAGUCGUAACAAGGUAUC